GGCACCUGGUGACAAUACCUAGGAGACCACACUAAUGUCAGUCCUCUGCUCUGCUCUGUAGGCUGGAGGGGCCAUGCACGCACAGAUCUCCAAGGUUGAUGCCAUCAUCAGGGGAGAUGCCCAGGCAGAAGCCUCUGGACUCAAAACCCUGCAGUGACCUCAUGCACUGGGGCAUCGCGUCUGUGGUGACCUCAGACAUGAGCUUUUGGAACAGUCACCCCAGUGACUUUCUCUCAUUCAUCUAAACCCAUGAACACUUCGGGGUUUCAACCCAAUGUACUGCCUUCAGAAGUUGCGUGCCUUGGCCAGGACGUGAUGGCCAGUGUGGGAUUCCGACAAGGCAACCUCAUCCUGCUCUGCACUCUCCCCUAGGAUGGUUCCAUGAAAAGUGAUAAACACUGCAGUGCAGGUGGCCUCCCGGAGCACAAGGGUUCCAGAGGGCCAGAGACAACCCCCGGGCCAUUGACGCUGAUCCUGUCCCCAUGCUACGUCUCUAAUUCUCCAGGUCUCAGCUGCAGAGGGCCUGAGUACGUACAGUUCCCACACCUUCCAGGCUCUGCAGAUGCUGUGGCCGGGGGCGCAUUUGAGAACCACCGUCACUCUUACCUUGAAGUGGACGUGUGGGUUCACAGACUAGAAAAGACCAGCUGCUUCCCAGGCAGGUGGGGAGAGUAGAGGUUACAAUUUGGACCUGUCUCCCGGAGGCACAUGUGGUGAAGCCUUGGUUCCCAGCUUGGAAUUAUUGGGAGCUAGUUUGUAGUAUAACAGGAGAGGCCUGGGGAGACGUAGGGGCCAGACUUCCUCUCUCUUUUGUCUCCCAGCCUUUGAGGGGAGCACCGUGUGUGGCAAGGCUCCCUGGCGUGCUCUGACACCACAUCUCAAGGAAACAGUAAGUUGUCAUGAACUGAAACCUCUGCCACCAUGAACUGAGUCAGUCUUGUCCCUCCUGGAGCAGGACAUUUGGGUCCUUGCACGCUCUGUUGGGGCCCAGGUGCAACCAAGUGGGUUAUCUCAAUGUGGCUGGGCGCCAUGUUGUUCUGGGAGACCACGGGAUGCAGAUGGGCUGGUGUAGGGACAGGGCUGGCAUCCACACCAGGGCGCACUGUGCUGCCCCUGUCUCACCACGGGUCAGUGUGGAGGUCUCACUAGGACACUCCAUCCCUAGGGAAGCCACGUGGUCUCCACAGUGUAGAACGGAGACCUUUUGGGGGCGAAGCAGACAUGGGGUGAGGACUGAGGCGCCCUGGAGACGGAUCCCAACACUGGCCCUUUCAGCCGGGUGAUGUGACAGGUUCUCCUCCCUCCACAGUCCGGCUUCCCAGCUCUAAGGAGGAGUCACGACAGUACUCGCUCUCGAGGCCCUGGGGAGGAGUCAGGGCAGCUCAAGCCAGGUCCUUGGUGGGGGGGGCUGGGGUCUUUGCUAUUCUGGGUUUGAAAUGCUGGCCUGUCGCCUGCUCUGGUGGACUCCAUUUCCAAGCAAUACUCAACAGUUGUCCAAUGGUGUCAGCAGCAGUGUUGAAGUCACAGGCAAAUGAGAAGGCCCACCCGAUGCCUCCUCUCCUUACAGACCUGCUUAUGUUUCCCUCCCAGACGCCCCUCCUGCUGGGUUAUAAGUCUUAGGGUGGGGAUGGGAAGGACUCACACCCACUGUGACGGUCAUCUUCCUGUUACUGUGUCAAAAUUCCCAAAAUAAAGCAUCCCUCUGAACAGA
This is a long non-coding RNA of Marmota monax (woodchuck), 1711 nucleotides long. RefSeq lists it as uncharacterized. The transcript has 2 exons. NCBI's taxonomy places the organism in Eukaryota, Metazoa, Chordata, Mammalia, Rodentia, Sciuridae. The record is from RefSeq and is a predicted model, not a curated record.